Molecule: ribosomal RNA, 429 nt
Filed under: Bacteroidota bacterium
Lineage: Bacteria; Pseudomonadati; Bacteroidota
Description: Bacteroidetes bacterium partial 16S ribosomal RNA
Rfam family: Bacterial small subunit ribosomal RNA
Source: RNAcentral
UAGGGAAUCUUCCGCAAUGGACGCAAGUCUGACGGAGCAACGCCGCGUGAGUGAAGAAGGAUUUCGGUUCGUAAAACUCUGUUGUUAGAGAAGAACAGCGCAUAGAGUAACUGUAAUGCGUGUGACGGUAUCUAAUCAGAAAGCCACGGCUAACUACGUGCCAGCAGCCGCGGUAAUACGUAGGUGGCAAGCGUUGUCCGGAUUUAUUGGGCGUAAAGCGAGCGCAGGCGGUCAAAUAAGUCUGAUGUGAAAGCGCCCGGCUCAACCGGGGAGGUGCAUUGGAAACUGAUUAACUUGAGUGCAGAAGAGGAGUGUUAAAUUCCAUGUGUAGCGGUGAAAUGCGUAGAUAUAUGGAGGAACACCAGUGGCGAGGGCAUCUCUCUGGUCUGUAUCUGACGCUGAGGUUCGAAAGCGUGGGUAGCAAACAGG